RNAcentral lists this long non-coding RNA (1086 nucleotides) under Homo sapiens (human). RNAcentral's name for it is "HSALNT0380382". Lineage: Eukaryota; Metazoa; Chordata; Mammalia; Primates; Hominidae. The record is from RNAcentral.
GGUGGGAGCAAGAAGGAAGUGCCAUGAGCACCAGCCCCGCCUUCACACCGUGGGAGGCAGCCCAGAGGCCACCGGCACAGGGUGGUGGCCCCCAGAUCAUACAGCAGUGGACACAGGGGAAGCAAACCUGAGUGAGGACACAAGAGCCUGGUCCGGCUCCGCUGCACAGGAGAAACAUAAUUGAGGUGGAAGGAUCCAGAAGAAAGGAACCAGUGAUGAUGAGGACAGAGGGCUCUCCACGGGAAGAUUGCCACCAGUUCACUGAGAGGAGUCAUUGAAAACAUGGCAUUGAGGACAGAGACUGCCACUUCAGAAUUUUCUACAUCCAACUGCUGAAGCCACUCGAAGAUAUUUCCCUCAGAGAACCAUAACCAGCUUUGGAGAAGAUGCUUCCACAUAGCUUGUUUCACAGCAUCUCAUCUCUCAUUAAAACCUUGUUGAGGGAGCAUUACUGUCUGAGCAAUGGACAUAGCUCUCAUACGAACCUUUUCAGCUAACACCGGAUAAGCCAGCUUUCUGACAGCCUCUUUCACAUCCUUGGUGCACCCUACAAUUUUUGGCAAAGUCUUUGCUGAUGGUGCAAUACAUGAUAACACUGCCUGUCUAAGUUCUGGAUUCAAAUCAAUCAUUUUCGAUCAAAGUAGCAUAUGCAUUAACCACUGGGCAUUCAUCAUCCUUUGGAUCCUGAAGUCGUGAAAGCGCCAGAACUGCCUGUAUUCUCACAUUUGGAAUCUUAUCUUUCAGUCUAAUAAGCAUGGCUUCAUUAAUUUUGUCAAACACACCAUCAUCAAUCUGAGCUUCUUCUGGCAUACUUCUCAAAAGCUUGUUUAUGCAGCUCCUGGUUCUUGAACUAACGUAGGCAUCAGCACAGCUGAUUCUCAUUCAGGAGAAGACAGUGCUGUGCCCAGGGGCCCCUGAGCCAUUGCCCAGCUUUCCAGCUUUCCAGGAAGUCUGCACUGGAGAAGCAUUCAACCUCCUCUGAGCUAACAUUUUCAUGUGCACACGUGAUUAUGAGUGUGAUACAGACAUUAUUUUACUUGUGUAACUAAUUUUUAAAUCAGACUAAUAAAAAAAGUUAUCAGUCUA